Molecule: non-coding RNA, 74 nt
Organism: Parelaphostrongylus tenuis
Lineage: Eukaryota; Metazoa; Nematoda; Chromadorea; Rhabditida; Metastrongylidae
Source: the annotation of a GenBank genome assembly
GCUUCGGUGGCGUAGUGGUAGUAGCAUGCGUUUCCGGUAUGGAUGAAAUGUGGGUUCGAUUCCCGCUUGAAGCC